AAAGCAGUGCUUUCGGUAAACUUAAAAAUAAAUAUUCUAAGUGCUAAGAAGUGUAAUGGUACAUAAUGUGAAUUUUAUAAUCAUUGGCAGAUUAGAUGAACUAUGUUAACUAUAUUAAUAUUAAACUAUGAAAUGAAUCGAGGAAAGUCCCUUUUUUUUUUUCUAGGCCUUGACCAUUUAAAAUAACAUUAUAAUUCAGUAAAAGUUGCAGUGGUUGGGUCGCGGCUACCUCUCUCCGGCGGCGCGUCUCCCGCGCUUGGUACAGCUCAGCCCGUCUCCCGCGAAGCCGCGAGCCCGCGCCCCUCAGUCGAUGGAGCCCGCAGCCCCCUGUGUGGCCCGCUCGCCCCUCGCUCGCGCCGGCCAUGGUCAGUCCGCGCCGGGCCCCGUACCGCUCUGGAGCCAGGAGCCCCCUAGGGGGUCACGGCCGCCCCGCGCGGCCCUUAGCAGUGCGCGCUGUCAGCUAGCGCUCCUGGCCGGCCAGCCCCCGAGGCCCGCAGCCUCUGCAGCUCCGGGCCUGCUCGGCCCCUCCCAUGAAAAGUGCUCGGGUCUUCGGGGCGCUGGGUGCCACCGGUCCCUCCUCACCUGGGCUCACCCUCAGGGGUCUGACCGUGAGUGAGCACCGGCUCAGCAACAAGCUGCUGGCCUGGAGCGGCGUCCUCGAGUGACAGGAGAAGCGCAGACUCUACUCCGACUCCACUGUAAAGUUGAAGCGCGCCCUGCUCUGCCAAGCCUAUGUGAACCUGGAGACCAACCAGUGGCAGCUGAAGCUGAUCAUGCAGCUGAUCCCGCAGCAGCUGAUGGCCACGCUGAGACCCCUGUUGCUUGCUCAACAGGCUCUGCCGCAUCAUGAGCAACGGCUUCGCGGGCUGCAUGUCGUUUCCCCACAUCUCCCCCUGCAAGAUGUGCGUGCUCAUGUUCCUGUACUCUUCCAGGACCAAGAUCUUCAUGGGCUUCAUCCCCUACGACCAGAGCGGCUUCGUCAGCGCCAUCCAGCAGAUCAUCACUACCCACAAGCAGGCAGUGGGACCUGGUGGUGUCAACUCAGGCCCAGUCAACAACAAGUUCCUGGCGUGGAGCGGCGUCAUGGAGUGGCAGGAACCCAGGCCUGAUCCCAACAGUCGGUCCAAGAGGUGGCUGCGGUCCCACGUCUACGUGAACCGGGGGAGAUCCUGAGGACCGAGCAGUGGCCGAGGAAGCUGUACAUGCAGCUCAUUCCGCAGCAGCUGCUGACCACCCUGGUGCUGCUGUUGCAGAACUAGCGCCUGGUGCACUUCCACUUCACCAAGGACCUGGAGACGCUGAAGAGCCUGUGCCGGAUCAUGGACAAUGGCUUCGCCGGGUGAGUGCACUUUUCCUACAAAGCAUCGUGCGAGAUCCGUGUGCUCAUGCUCCUGUACUCCUCUGAGAAGAAAAUCUUCAUCGGCCUCAUCCCCCAGGGCAACUUCCUCAAUGGCAUACUGCAAGUCAUUGCCAACCAGCGCAGGUCCUGCAGUGGAACCUGGAACAGGAGCAGCAGCAGCAAGGAAUGGGGGGUAGUGGCUACCCUGGAUGGGCCCCUUCAGGAGUCACAGACUAGGCCCCCGCAGAGACUGGUGACACGCUUCUGAGCAGGGGCCCCGGGGGACUUCGACUGCCCAGCAACAUGGAGGAUGGCGUCCUGGGGCCUCCAAGGACGGUCUUCACCACUGUACGUUUCCCCAGUAAAGCCUUUUAAAAACCAA
This is an RNA transcript of Cercocebus atys (sooty mangabey), 1721 nucleotides long. It is a transcript of the gene named prostate tumor-overexpressed gene 1 protein pseudogene, with no coding region annotated. Lineage: Eukaryota; Metazoa; Chordata; Mammalia; Primates; Cercopithecidae. The transcript has a single exon. The record is from RefSeq and is a predicted model, not a curated record.